This 254-nucleotide ribosomal RNA is filed under the name uncultured bacterium. Its description in RNAcentral is "partial 16S ribosomal RNA". It matches the Rfam family "Bacterial small subunit ribosomal RNA", at positions 524 to 777 of the family's 1533-position model. The record is from RNAcentral.
UACGGAGGGUGCGAGCGUUGUCCGGAAUCACUGGGCGUAAAGGGCGCGUAGGUGGCGCGGGCAGUCAACGGUGAAAGUUCGGGGCUCAACCCUGAAUCGGCCGUCGAUACUCCCGUGCUGGAGCACUGUAGAGGCUAAUGGAAUUCCGGGUGUAGCGGUGGAAUGCGUAGAGAUCCGGAAGAACACCGGUGGCGAAGGCGGUUAGCUGGGCAGUUGCUGACACUGAGGCGCGACAGCGUGGGGAGCAAACAGGG